RNAcentral lists this ribosomal RNA (253 nucleotides) under uncultured bacterium. RNAcentral describes it as "partial 16S ribosomal RNA". It matches the Rfam family "Bacterial small subunit ribosomal RNA", at positions 524 to 776 of the family's 1533-position model. The record is from RNAcentral.
UACGGAGGGGGCAAGCGUUGUCCGGAUUUACUGGGCGUAAAGAGCGCGCAGGCGGUCGUUCAAGUCGAGUGUGAAAGCCCCCGGCUCAACUGGGGAGGGUCACUCGAUACUGAUCGACUCGAAGGCAGGAGAGGGAAGUGGAAUUCCCGGUGUAGUGGUGAAAUGCGUAGAUAUCGGGAGGAACACCAGUGGCGAAGGCGACUUCCUGGCCUGUUCUUGACGCUGAGGCGCGAAAGCUAGGGGAGCAAACGGG